UGAUUGGUGCCCUAAGGCAUGUGUCCAGCUUGGACGAGAAGGAAUCACUCGUCCAGUCUGCUGCAGACUUUUUUGUAAAUGGAAGACUACAGGCUGCCCUAAACCAGUUCAUUGAGGGAUUCAAAACCCUUGGGUUAUUAAAGGAAAUGAAAAGGCACCCAGCUCUGUUCCUGCCUCUUUUUGUAAAUGAGGACAUCCCGCUGCAAGCUAAAGACUUGGUAACAUUGUUUAAGGUGGACUUCUCUGUACAGGGAAGCAACAGAAGAGCAAAGGAAAACCGCACCAUCUGCUUUUGGCGCAACUUAUUAAUAGAAAUUGAAGAAGGAGAAUGCUCUAUCACCCUUGAAAAUAUCUUGGAAUUUGCCUCCAGAGCAUCAUCUGUGCCUGUCGUAGGUUUUCCUCAAAGGCCGCAAAUCCAUUUUCUUCAUGAAGAAAACCGACCGUUCCCAGAGGCAAACACAUGCCUCAUAAUCCUUCGUCUACCCAUUCAUGGGGAUUAUAAUACUUUCAAACAACACUUCAUUGAUGGUAUAGUUCAAGCUCCUGUGUUUGGAUUUGCUUAAAGAGCCAUUGUAGAGAUUUUCAAGGUGCUGCCACAGGUGGUCAUUAGAGAAACAGCAGUCAGUAUCCUGUUCUGUGUUUAGAGGUUUAACCCUCAAAUCUUUUGCUAUUAAAAUGUUUUUGUUCAUGAAACAGGAUAAAACACAUCAAUUGAAGCUGUAUUAUUGUUCAAAGUUAUACAUCUGUUACUUUACUGUUAUACAUAAUUCAAAACUAUAUAACAUAUCAGAGGUGGGAUGUAACAACUUACAUUAAUUAUUUUAUGGGCGCUGAGGGGAUCAGACAGAGACCUGUGGAUAUAUCUGCUGCAUUUUGUAAAAGAUCACUUUGACAUGUUUAUGUUCACAAAUAAUGAGUUAAUAA
Molecule: long non-coding RNA, 924 nt
Organism: Melanotaenia boesemani (Boeseman's rainbowfish)
Lineage: Eukaryota; Metazoa; Chordata; Actinopteri; Atheriniformes; Melanotaeniidae
Exons: 3
Source: RefSeq, a predicted model, not a curated record